GAGGCUACAGCUCAAGUGGUGGAGCGCAUGCCUAGCAUGCAUAAGGUUCUGGGUUCAAUCCCCAGUAGCUCCA
RNAcentral lists this transfer RNA (73 nucleotides) under Camelus dromedarius (Arabian camel). It matches the Rfam family "tRNA". Rfam says of the family: Transfer RNA (tRNA) molecules are approximately 80 nucleotides in length. Their secondary structure includes four short double-helical elements and three loops (D, anti-codon, and T loops). Further hydrogen bonds mediate the characteristic L-shaped molecular structure. tRNAs have two regions of fundamental functional importance: the anti-codon, which is responsible for specific mRNA codon recognition, and the 3' end, to which the tRNAs corresponding amino acid is attached (by aminoacyl-tRNA synthetases). tRNAs cope with the degeneracy of the genetic code in two manners: having more than one tRNA (with a specific anti-codon) for a particular amino acid; and 'wobble' base-pairing, i.e. permitting non-standard base-pairing at the 3rd anti-codon position. Lineage: Eukaryota; Metazoa; Chordata; Mammalia; Artiodactyla; Camelidae. The record is from Rfam by way of RNAcentral. RNAcentral also lists the same sequence under 1 other name.